GCCUUUGUGAGGUCAGAGGUGGAGCUCUGGGUGGGCACUCUGGGCCUCUCAGUCCCAGAGGAAAGGCCUGUCCUCCAAGCCAAUGUGCAGCCUGACUCUGGGGCCAGCGCCUGAGGAAGCCCUCCCUGAGCCCCAGCCCUGGGGAAGGCUGAAGAGGCCUCUGAGCCCCCAGCGCUGGGGAGAGCUGUGCAGAAUAGGACUGGAGGUGGAAGUGUUGGAGAUUAACAGCCAGGUUUGGGGGCACACGUGAAGGUUUGACAUAUAGUAAACACAUGUCAUGGUGGUUUGUUGUACAGAUUAUUACAUCACCCAGGUACUAAGCCCAGUACCCAAUAGUUGUCUUUUCUGCUCCUCUCCCUCCUCCCGCCCUCAAGAAGACCCCCGUGUCUGCACUUUCCUUCUUUGUGUUCGUAAGUUCUUAUCAUUUAGCUCCCAAUGCUUUCCAUUCUUUUAGAUAUAUGUGCCCUUGGCAUUUUUGCCCUUUUGGGCCCCUUCUUCCAGCAAAUAAUAAUAAUAGUAAUAAUUAAUUCUAUUUUACAACUAUUGGUAUAAAGACAAAUAUAUUAAUUUUUUUUUUUUUUCCGAGACAGGGUUUCACUCCCGUCACCCAGACUGGAGUACAAUGGUGCGAUCUCAGCUCACUGCAACCUCUGCCUCCUGGGCUUAAGCGAUUCUCCUGCCUUGGCCUCCCAAGUAGCUGGGAUUACAGGUGCCUGCCACCACUCCUGGCUAAUUUUUGUAUUUUUUGUAAAGGCGGAGUUUCUCCAUGUUGCCCAGGCUAGUCUCAAACUCCUGAGCUCAAGCAAUCCACCCGCCUCGGCCUCCCAAAUAAGUGGAAUUAUAGGUGUGAGCCACCACGCCGGCCCUGAUGUAUCAAUAUUAAAACAUUUUCUUCAGCCUACAAGUUCUUCUUUUUCUUAUUUGGAUGCAAACUAAAACAU
RNAcentral lists this long non-coding RNA (941 nucleotides) under Homo sapiens (human). RNAcentral's name for it is "HSALNT0351648". Lineage: Eukaryota; Metazoa; Chordata; Mammalia; Primates; Hominidae. The record is from RNAcentral.